AGAGUGAACGCUGGCGGCAGGCCUAACACAUGCAAGUCGAACGGCAGCACAGAGGAGCUUGCUCCUUGGGUGGCGAGUGGCGGACGGGUGAGGAAAACGUCGGAAUCUGCCUAUUUGUGGGGGAUAACGUAGGGAAACUUACGCUAAUACCGCAUACGACCUACGGGUGAAAGCGGAGGACCUUCGGGCUUCGCGCAGAUAGAUGAGCCGGACGUCGGAUUAGCUAGUUGGCGGGGUAAAGCCACCAAGGCGACGAUCCGUAGCUGGUCUGAGAGGAUGAUCAGCCACACGUGGAACUGAGACACGGUCCAGACCUCCUACGGGAGCAGCAGUGGGAAUAGUUGGACAAUGGGCGACAAGCUGACUCCAGACAUGCCGCGGUGUGGUAGAACG
This 393-nucleotide ribosomal RNA is filed under the name uncultured soil bacterium. RNAcentral's name for it is "bacterial SSU rRNA". It matches the Rfam family "Bacterial small subunit ribosomal RNA", at positions 26 to 414 of the family's 1533-position model. The record is from RNAcentral.